RNAcentral lists this ribosomal RNA (293 nucleotides) under Salmonella enterica subsp. enterica serovar Typhimurium. Its description in RNAcentral is "partial 16S ribosomal RNA". It matches the Rfam family "Bacterial small subunit ribosomal RNA", at positions 292 to 577 of the family's 1533-position model. The record is from RNAcentral. Lineage: Bacteria; Pseudomonadati; Pseudomonadota; Gammaproteobacteria; Enterobacterales; Enterobacteriaceae.
CUGAGAGGAUGACCAGCCACACUGGAACUGAGACACGGUCCAGACUCCUACGGGAGGCAGCAGUGGGGAAUAUUGCACAAUGGGCGCAAGCCUGAUGCAGCCAUGCCGCGUGUAUGAAGAAGGCCUUCGGGUUGUAAAGUACUUUCAGCGGGGAGGAAGGUGUUGUGGUUAAUAACCGCAGCAAUUGACGUUACCCGCAGAAGAAGCACCGGCUAACUCCGUGCCAGCAGCCGCGGUAAUACGGAGGGUGCAAGCGUUAAUCGGAAUUACUGGGCGUAAAGCGCACGCAGGCG